ACCUGUAGAUCUGCUCGCUCUCUGACAGCUGAUACGCACCUCCCCCUUCCGGGUUUACCUGGCUGCAGGUUCGGCAGACGCUCGGCACUCUCUGCAGGGUUGUGCAAAUUGUUCCACCGUGCAGGCGCUGGCAGGUCGGACUGCGUGUUUGCUCGUUUUGUCCCGGAGCUAUGCCACGCUGAGGUCCCGACUGCCCUGACCCGUUUUGGACUGCUGCUGCUUUGUGUGGGGAUAAAACCCACACUUUUUACGGACCUUGCCUGCUGCUGCGUUCGGGUGCUGAGGGCCUCACUGGUGAUCCUGUUUGGUGAUGGUGUCCCUUCGUGUGUAGUGUCUUAUUCACUCCCCUCCUUUGUUUUGCUUUGCCCUUGUGUGUUUGGAGUGUUAAUUUUGGAUUGUGGUGCUCCCAUUUUAAGUUUAUACUUUCACCCCUCACUCACCUUGAGCACAAAUGCCCCAGCCCUGGAAUACAUGAUAAUUUAUACAAAU
Long non-coding RNA from Gasterosteus aculeatus aculeatus (three-spined stickleback), 489 nucleotides. The record is from Ensembl. Lineage: Eukaryota; Metazoa; Chordata; Actinopteri; Perciformes; Gasterosteidae.